GUUCUGCCUCCAACCGGUGCCACAGACUGCCCCCAAAUCUCAUUCUCCCUCCUAACCUAAAUCCGCCGCCGCCGCCUUUCGAGCUCUCUCUCGCCGUCCAGCUACGUGCUCUUCGGCCGGCGAGGCUUUGACCCCCUCUCCCACUCGUUCCCCAGCGUCUCCACCGUCGACCCCACACCAUUCUGUUCCUCGGUGAGUGCUCUCUCCGGCCAGCCUCCGCGCGUAAGCUUCCAGCGAGGCUGCCGCCGCCCUGCCUGGCCCGUCCUCCCCCUCUCCACCAUGGUAUCCACCAUGGCCGUCGGAGUACAGAAGAGAUCUUGGCGGCGGCGAGAGAGGGCUCGGGAUAGGGUUAAUGAGGGGCUUCAUAUAGAGAGGAGAAAAGAGGUCCUCGGCUCCUUCCCCUUCGACCUUCCCCAGCCGGAUCUGCUCCCCUUCGGCCUUCCCCAGCCGGAUCUGCUCCCCUUCAGCCUUCCCCAGCCGGAUCUGCUCCCCUUCGGUCUUCCCCAGCCGGAUCUGCUCCCCUUCGCCCUUCCCCAGCCGGAUCUGCUCCCCUUCAUCCACCCUGACUCCCCGAGCUCCUCCCUCAGGAAUGUCUUAAGAGAGUUAUCCCCUAUGAGCACAUGGACAUUGCAUAAUCAGUCUUAUCAUGGGAAUAAUUUGCCUGCCUAAAGAAGGCGAAGCAAUCAGCCAAGCAAUGAAACUGGAGUCCAGUAAAGAGAAAUCUUCCAGUGACAAUCAAGAGUUGAAUCGUAGACAUUCCAAAGGAGACAAGUCAUCCAACCAUCCAGCAGAAGUGUAGACAGUUUAAAGAAACCAGCACUUGAUCUGGGCAAUAAUAGCGCAUCAGUUUCAUCUAGUUCUAUACAUAAGAAGAUUAUAUGGUCGUGAAGCUCGGCGUUGACAAGAGCAUCACCCUGUAGCUGUGCGUCCUUCUCUAACAAACACUCAAAGCACUACCAUGCCGGGCUAUGGGUACUGCCUCAUUGACCAAGGAUCUACGGCGACGGCGGCACCAGCGACCCCAUGGAGGAAGCACCGAAACCCUAGCCGCUGCUGCUCUCCCUGAGUCCCCUCCUCAUCUCCUCCCUCGUGCGGCGCGUAUGCUCUGCUUCAUCUUUUCUCAAACCUCCACUAGUCAAAUUCGACUGGGAAAAAGAAACACCUACAUACAUAUCAUCGGAUGUUCAAGCUGGAGGAUGUGGCGAUGGAAUAUGGAUCAAUGAUAUGAAGAAAGGUGUUGAUGUCAAGUACGAGAAUGAUGGAAGGAUCUUGUGGUUAUCUAGUUGCCCACCAGCAGGAGUCAAUGUAGAUGAUGUGCCUCUAGGGCAAAUUAUAGAAACCAAAGCGACCCAUUUUUGCUCUCUCAAACAAUGAACAUAUUUUGUUCCCUAUUUAAUAAGUUAAAUUAGUUUAUGGGAAAUUUUGAUGUGAAAAUUAUUGAAUGUGUGUUAUUAUUGUUUGGUUUUGGUUUACUAUUGUUCGACGACAUGCACGUUAUUGUAAUGAUUUGGGUAACUUCA
Molecule: long non-coding RNA, 1520 nt
Organism: Triticum dicoccoides
Lineage: Eukaryota; Viridiplantae; Streptophyta; Magnoliopsida; Poales; Poaceae
Exons: 6
Source: RefSeq, a predicted model, not a curated record